RNAcentral lists this ribosomal RNA (1057 nucleotides) under uncultured bacterium. RNAcentral's name for it is "bacterial SSU rRNA". It matches the Rfam family "Bacterial small subunit ribosomal RNA", at positions 1 to 1026 of the family's 1533-position model. The record is from RNAcentral.
CAGCCCAAUGUGGAAUUCGCCCUUAGAGUUUGAUCAUGGCUCAGGAUGAACGCUAGCGGCAGGCUUAAUACAUGCAAGUCGAACGGUAAUCCCGCACAUGCGGGAACGAGUGGCGCACGGGUGCGUAACACGUAUGCAACUUACCCUUUACUGGGGCAUAACCUGUUGAAAGACGGGCUAAUUCCCCAUGGUAUUAUGAUGAGGCAUCUUAUUAUAAUUAAAGAUUUAUCGGUAAAGGAUGGGCAUGCGCCCCAUUAGUUAGUUGGUGAGGUAACGGCUCACCAAGACUGUGAUGGGUAGGGGUUCUGAGAGGAUUCACCCCCACACUGGUACUGAGACACGGACCANACUCCUACGGGAGGCAGCAGUAAGGAAUAUUGGGCAAUGGGCGCGAGCCUGACCCAGCCAUGCCGCGUGCAGGAAGACGGCCUUAUGGGUUGUAAACUGCUUUUAUAAGGGAAUAACCUCCCGUACGUGUACGGGACUGCAAGUACCUUAUGAAUAAGCAUCGGCUAACUCCGUGCCAGCAGCCGCGGUAAUACGGAGGAUGCAAGCGUUAUCCGGAAUUAUUGGGUUUAAAGGGUGCGUAGGCGGGCUUGUAAGUCAGUGGUGAAAUAUCCGGGCUCAACCUGGAGGCUGCCAUUGAUACUGCUGGUCUUGAGUUUAGUUGAUGUUGGCGGAAUGUGUCAUGUANCGGUGAAAUGCAUANAUAUGACACAUAACACCGAUAGCGAANGCAGCUGACAAAACUAAAACUGACGCUGAUGCACGAAAGCGUGGGGAUCAAACAGGAUUAGAUACNCUGGUAAGUCCACGCCGUAAACGAUGAUCACUAGCUGUUUGCGAAUACACAGUAAGUGGCUAAGGGGAAACCGAUAAGUGAUCCACCUGGGGAGUACNUCCNNAAGGAUGAAACUCAAAGGAAUUUGACGGGGGNNCCCCACAANCGGAAGAANCAUGUGGUUUAAUUUCNAUGAAACNCNAGGNAACNUUACCUGGGGCUUGAACCUAAUGGUGCAAUNUUNGGUGAAAAACCCAACUUUUCUNGCCAACAAAA